RNAcentral lists this ribosomal RNA (253 nucleotides) under uncultured bacterium. Its description in RNAcentral is "partial 16S ribosomal RNA". It matches the Rfam family "Bacterial small subunit ribosomal RNA", at positions 524 to 776 of the family's 1533-position model. The record is from RNAcentral.
UACGGGGGGGGCAAGCGUUGUUCGGAAUUACUGGGCGUAAAGGGCUCGUAGGUGGCCAACUAAGUCAGACGUGAAAUCCCUCGGCUUAACCGGGGAACUGCGCAUGAUACUGGAUGGCUUGAGUUUGGGAGAGGGAUGCGGAAUUCCAGGUGUAGCGGUGAAAUGCGUGGAUAUCUGGAGGAACACCGGUGGCGAAGGCGGCAUCCUGGACCAACACUGACACUGAGGAGCGAAAGCCAGGGGAGCAAACGGG